CCAGAGAUUAAUUUCAUAAUCUUAAGAUUAAAUUUUUACAUUUGCUUUUUUUUUCUUUCUGCUGUUGCUUCUCAUGAAAUCUCUUUGUCCCUGGAUUCACUACCAGCAUGUAGGAUCCUCAUGUAGCACAUUUCUCUUCAUUUGAGUAAAUGCAUCUUCUGAUAUAUGUACUUACUAUAGAAAAUUGAAACAAGAUUCACAAAGACUUAUGGCAAGAGUAGCCACAUUAAAUAUUUAAGGGUACAGGAAAAUAAUGUAACAAUGUAACAGUUUUGGGAGCUCAGAGAAUUCACUCAGGACAUAAGGCAGUCGAAUUUCUUUUUAUGCUCUGUCCAACAAAAAUAUUAUAUGCCAUAUUCAAAACACGUACAACCAGAUUUACACCACUGAAAAUCAUGGUAUCCAGUGUAAGACAUACAGACUUGAAGAAAUUGAAACUGAGUUACUCACUGGAAGCCAGAAAGAAAGAGAGAAACUAAUCCCAAAUAAAUAGUACAAAUUUUAUCUUA
This is a long non-coding RNA of Homo sapiens (human), 509 nucleotides long. RefSeq lists it as uncharacterized. The transcript is spliced from 3 exons. The record is from RefSeq and is a predicted model, not a curated record. Lineage: Eukaryota; Metazoa; Chordata; Mammalia; Primates; Hominidae.